GGCCUGUUAGCUCAGUCAGUUGAGCGUGGCGCUAACUAUGUCAAUGUCGCGGGUUCGACUCCUGUUCGGUCCC
This is a transfer RNA of Apaloderma vittatum (bar-tailed trogon), 73 nucleotides long. It matches the Rfam family "tRNA". From Rfam's summary of the family: Transfer RNA (tRNA) molecules are approximately 80 nucleotides in length. Their secondary structure includes four short double-helical elements and three loops (D, anti-codon, and T loops). The record is from Rfam. NCBI's taxonomy places the organism in Eukaryota, Metazoa, Chordata, Aves, Trogoniformes, Trogonidae.